GGCACAACCUCCUAUUAAUGAAGAAGCAGCUAUAUAAGACGAAUACAGCUACAUAUCAAUCUUUACUUAGCACUAUGUAUUUAUCUAAAGAUCUGCAACGUGCUAUGGAGAAAACAAGAAAUGUCUGAAGCUUCAAACUUUGUCACGGCCAACAGUAUUUUAGCAGCAGCUUCCAAAUCACUGUCCUGAAAAUUUACAUUUUGCCUUUCCAGACACGAAAACCUCAUUACAAAAACAGAAGCUAAUGGUGUGAGUGAGAAGACUGGAUGGGAGAUAUGAUUUGCCCCAAAACCAUUUCCAUCUGGUUUGCUAUCUUUGCCUUGGGGAAGAUGGGAAGAACUGCUGGAAGUGCCUGCUUCACGCUGACAAAAGGCCUGUAUUCUUUGUCAAGCUUCAGAAGAGACCUUGCUCUUUCCUAUCUGCUGAUCAGAAAUCCAAUAAAAAUCCCUGCAUGUUAUCCCCGAGAUACCACUUUAUAGUUCCUAUACUACCAAAUUAAUCUCCCUAGCUUUAAAAUGCAUGAGCUAUCUUCUUAUUGAUUAAGCCACAUUUUGUCACAAUUCAGGGUCAGAUUACCCCUAUAUUGUGACUAAGGCAAUAAAUGUGAUAUCAUUAAAACAAUAGGAAAUGACUUGGUGUUUCCCUACAUAAUUAGGAUGCCAACAGUUACAGCUAGCAGGGUGAAUAAACAGACCCAUAUUCAAAGGGAUCUACCUUCUGUAAAUGGAGUGGUUUGAUA
This is a long non-coding RNA of Meleagris gallopavo (turkey), 739 nucleotides long. RefSeq lists it as uncharacterized. The record is from RefSeq and is a predicted model, not a curated record. NCBI's taxonomy places the organism in Eukaryota, Metazoa, Chordata, Aves, Galliformes, Phasianidae.